UACGUAGGGUGCGAGCGUUAAUCGGAAUUACUGGGCGUAAAGCGUGCGCAGGCGGUUGGUUAAGUCUGAUGUGAAAGCCCCGAGCUCAACUUGGGAAUGGCAUUGGAAACUGGCUGGCUAGAGUGUGGCAGAGGGGGGUGGAAUUCCGGGUGUAGUGGUGAAAUGCGUGGAGAUCCGGAGGAACCCCAGAGGCGAAGGCGGCGCCCUGGCCCGACACUGACGCUCAGACACGACAGCAUGGGGAGCGAACGGG
RNAcentral lists this ribosomal RNA (253 nucleotides) under uncultured bacterium. RNAcentral's name for it is "partial 16S ribosomal RNA". It matches the Rfam family "Bacterial small subunit ribosomal RNA", at positions 524 to 776 of the family's 1533-position model. The record is from RNAcentral.